GGAAUCACGGAGUGUUUUAUGGCACUCUUUAAAAUCCAUAUCCACCUUGUGUGCAAUGUUUGUUGGGAAAGUCUUUUUCUUUCCCUUCAUAAAUAUCAACCUAUAUCUUUAACAACAUUCGUCUGAUAACAUAUUAUGAAUAUACUUAAUUCAAAAUAUAACUUUCAACAACGGAUCUCUUGGCUCUCGCAUCGAUGAAGAACGCAGCGAAAUGCGAUACGUAAUGUGAAUUGCAGAAUUCAGUGAAUCAUCGAAUCUUUGAACGCAUAUUGCGCUCUUUGGUAUUCCGAAGAGCAUGCUUGUUUGAGUAUCAGUAAACACCUCAACCUCUCUUUUUUGAUAAAAAAAAAAGGGAGGGUGGACUUGAGCUAUCCCAACGACCUUCACCGGUAGGCGGGCGGCUUGAAAUGCAGGUGCAGCUGGACUUUUAUCUGAGCUAAAAGCAUAUCUAUUUAGUCCUCGUCAAACAGGAUUAUUACUUUUGCUGCAGCUAACAUAAAGGAUAAUUGUCCUCUUUGCUGACUGAUGCAGGAUUUUACGACACUUUAUGUGUUGUUCAACUCGAUCUCAAAUCAAGUAAGACUACCCGCUGAACUUAAGCAUAUCAAUAAGCGGGAGGAA
Molecule: ribosomal RNA, 621 nt
Filed under: fungal sp. QLF82
Lineage: Eukaryota; Fungi
Description: eukaryotic LSU rRNA
Rfam family: 5.8S ribosomal RNA (bases 160-313)
Source: RNAcentral